UACAGAGGUCCCAAGCGUUGUUCGGAUUCACUGGGCGUAAAGGGUGCGUAGGCGGGUCUUUAAGUCAGGGGUGAAAUCCUGGAGCUCAACUCCAGAACUGCCUUUGAUACUGAAGAUCUUGAGUUCGGGAGAGGUGAGUGGAACUGCGAGUGUAGAGGUGAAAUUCGUAGAUAUUCGCAAGAACACCAGUGGCGAAGGCGGCUCACUGGCCCGAUACUGACGCUGAGGAGCGAAAGCGUGGGGAGCGAACAGG
RNAcentral lists this ribosomal RNA (253 nucleotides) under uncultured bacterium. RNAcentral describes it as "partial 16S ribosomal RNA". It matches the Rfam family "Bacterial small subunit ribosomal RNA", at positions 524 to 776 of the family's 1533-position model. The record is from RNAcentral.